This 253-nucleotide ribosomal RNA is filed under the name uncultured bacterium. Its description in RNAcentral is "partial 16S ribosomal RNA". It matches the Rfam family "Bacterial small subunit ribosomal RNA", at positions 524 to 776 of the family's 1533-position model. The record is from RNAcentral.
UACGGAGGGUGCAAGCGUUAUCCGGAUUCACUGGGUUUAAAGGGUGCGUAGGCGGCUAGGUAAGUCCGUGGUGAAAUCCUGCAGCUUAACUGCAGAACUGCCAUGGAUACUAUUUAUCUUGAAUGUCGUGGAGGUUAGCAGAAUAUGUCAUGUAGCGGUGAAAUGCUUAGAUAUGACAUAGAAUACCCAUUGCGAAGGCAGCUAACUACGCGAUAAUUUACGCUGAUGCACGAAAGCGUGGGGAUCAAACAGG